GGACGAACGCUGGCGGCGUGCCUAAUACAUGCAAGUCGAACGAGUCCUCCCAAUUUGAUUUUAUGCUUGCAUAAAUGAUUUUUGGAUUCGGGACGAGUGGCGAACUGGUGAGUAACACGUGGGUAACCUGCCCUAAAGCAGGGGAUAACAUUUGGAAACAGAUGCUAAUACCGUAUAAUUGGUUGGAACCACAUGGUUCCAACUUGAAAGAUGGCUCUGCUAUCACUUUAGGACGGACCCGCGGCGUAUUAGCUAGUUGGUGAGAUAAAAGCUCACCAAGGCGAUGAUACGUAGCCGACCUGAGAGGGUAAUCGGCCACAUUGGGACUGAGACACGGCCCAGACUCCUACGGGAGGCAGCAGUAGGGAAUCUUCCACAAUGGACGAAAGUCUGAUGGAGCAACGCCGCGUGAGUGAAGAAGGGUUUCGGCUCGUAAAACUCUGUUGUUAAAGAAGAACAAGUGUAAGAGUAACUGUUUACGCUUUGACGGUAUUUAACCAGAAAGCCACGGCUAACUACGUGCCAGCAGCCGCGGUAAUACGUAGGUGGCAAGCGUUGUCCGGAUUUAUUGGGCGUAAAGCGAGCGCAGUGGUCUUUUAAGUCUGUUGUGAAAGCCCUCAGCUCAACUGAGGAAGUGCAGCGGAAACUAGGAGACUUGAGUACAGAAGAGGAUAGUGGAACUCCAUGUGUAGCGGUGAAAUGCGUAGAUAUAUGGAAGAACACCAGUGGCGAAGGCGGCUAUCUGGUCUGUUACUGACACUGAGGCUCGAAAGCAUGGGUAGCGAACAGGAUUAGAUACCCUGGUAGUCCAUGCCGUAAACGAUGAAUACUAGGUGUUGGAGGGUUUCCGCCCUUCAGUGCCGCAGCUAACGCAUUAAGUAUUCCGCCUGGGGAGUACGACCGCAAGGUUGAAACUCAAAGGAAUUGACGGGGGCCCGCACAAGUGGUGGAGCAUGUGGUUUAAUUCGAUGCUACGCGAAGAACCUUACCAGGUCUUGACAUCUUCUGCCAACCUAAGAGAUUAGGCGUUCCCUUCGGGGACAGAAUGACAGGUGGUGCAUGGUUGUCGUCAGCUCGUGUCGUGAGAUGUUGGGUUAAGUCCCGCAACGAGCGCAACCCUUAUUAUUAGUUGCCAGCAUUAAGUUGGGCACUCUAGUGAGACUGCCGGUGAUAAACCGGAGGAAGGUGGGGAUGACGUCAAAUCAUCAUGCCCCUUAUGACCUGGGCUACACACGUGCUACAAUGGAUGGUACAACGAGUUGCGAAACCGCGAGGUCAAGCUAAUCUCUUAAAGCCAUUCUCAGUUCGGAUUGCAGGCUGCAACUCGCCUGCAUGAAGUUGGAAUCACUAGUAAUCGUGGAUCAGCAUGCCACGGUGAAUACGUUCCCGGGCCUUGUAC
RNAcentral lists this ribosomal RNA (1399 nucleotides) under uncultured Bacilli bacterium. RNAcentral describes it as "16S ribosomal RNA". It matches the Rfam family "Bacterial small subunit ribosomal RNA", at positions 27 to 1386 of the family's 1533-position model. The record is from RNAcentral. Lineage: Bacteria; Bacillati; Bacillota; Bacilli.